This 354-nucleotide ribosomal RNA is filed under the name Chaetodon lineolatus (lined butterflyfish). Its description in RNAcentral is "partial 12S ribosomal RNA". It matches the Rfam family "Bacterial small subunit ribosomal RNA", at positions 1026 to 1527 of the family's 1533-position model. The record is from RNAcentral. Lineage: Eukaryota; Metazoa; Chordata; Actinopteri; Chaetodontiformes; Chaetodontidae.
UUGUCAUUUCCGCCUAUAUACCACCGUCGUCAGCUUACCCUGUGAAGGCCCAAUAGUAAGCGCAAUCGGCAAUGCCCAAAACGUCAGGUCGAGGUGUAGCGAAUGGAAGGGGAAGAAAUGGGCUACAUUUACUAACACAGUAAAUACGGAUGAUUACCCUGCAACGAGUAUCUGAAGGAGGAUUUAGCAGUAAGCAAAAAGCAGAGUGUUUUGCUGAAAUUGGCCCUGAAGCGUGCACACACCGCCCGUCACUCUCUCCGAACUAAAACUUUAAACAUAACUAAUAUGCUAUAACUGUAAAGGGGAGGCAAGUCGUAACAUGGUAAGCGUACCGGAAGGUGCGCUUGGAAAAAC